RNAcentral lists this transfer RNA (69 nucleotides) under Ictidomys tridecemlineatus (thirteen-lined ground squirrel). Its description in RNAcentral is "Spermophilus tridecemlineatus (thirteen-lined ground squirrel) tRNA". It matches the Rfam family "tRNA". From Rfam's summary of the family: Transfer RNA (tRNA) molecules are approximately 80 nucleotides in length. Their secondary structure includes four short double-helical elements and three loops (D, anti-codon, and T loops). Further hydrogen bonds mediate the characteristic L-shaped molecular structure. tRNAs have two regions of fundamental functional importance: the anti-codon, which is responsible for specific mRNA codon recognition, and the 3' end, to which the tRNAs corresponding amino acid is attached (by aminoacyl-tRNA synthetases). tRNAs cope with the degeneracy of the genetic code in two manners: having more than one tRNA (with a specific anti-codon) for a particular amino acid; and 'wobble' base-pairing, i.e. permitting non-standard base-pairing at the 3rd anti-codon position. The record is from Rfam by way of RNAcentral. Lineage: Eukaryota; Metazoa; Chordata; Mammalia; Rodentia; Sciuridae.
GGGGUUGUGGCUCAGCAGUAGAGCGCGUGCCUCGCAUGCAUGAGGCACUGGGUUCGAUUCGCGGCACCA